This is a long non-coding RNA of Peromyscus californicus insignis, 5042 nucleotides long. RefSeq lists it as uncharacterized. NCBI's taxonomy places the organism in Eukaryota, Metazoa, Chordata, Mammalia, Rodentia, Cricetidae. The transcript has 3 exons. The record is from RefSeq and is a predicted model, not a curated record.
CUUUGUUUUUCCCUGGCCCUCAGUCAAGUUUUGAGCUCUUUGUGAGAGGCCCUUCCUGUCUGUGCCGCCAUCCCUCACUCCCUUCCUUCUGUCCCGUCAGCCUUCCCUUUGUCCCUUGGCUUUCCUGCGUGCUCUUCCAGCCAGCCAGUCUGACCAAUUCCCCCAGUUUGCUCUCCUUUCCUUGGGAGGUAGAAAGAGACCAAAGUGAAAGUCACCCUGACCACACACAGAUGAACAGGACAGACGGGAGACUUGUCAAUGUGAGGAGAGGGCUCUCUAGAGUUCUGAUUUCUCAGACGGUUAACAGUCCAUUUUUUAAAUAGAAGCAAAUUAACCUUUACUACAGGCUGUGAGCUGUAGCGAACAGAUCUGGGUUUUCAACCCGGCCUCAUCACUCCCAGCGCAGACGAGGAUGAGCGUUUAGGGUAGAUCUGGAGGUGCCCCAGGCUCAUGUGAGGCAGGCUUUGUGCUCAGCGCACACAGUGCGUAGUGUGUACCGGGCUUUUGCGAAGUGAGUGGAUCCUGAAGGCUGUGACCUCAUCAGUGGAUCAGUUCAUUCAUGAGCUCAUAAUUUAAUGGGAUAUUGAGUUCUUAACUGAGUGGGAAACGUGUCACUUAGGAAGUGUACUUCAAGUAGGGAAUUGUACUUAGGAACGUGCCUUGGAGGACCAAAUCUUGUUCCUUGGCUCCUUCUGCUGCUUUCUCCCUGGCCCCUGUCCUUUGUGAGGUGAGCUCCUUUGCUCGGCUGCACCCUCCCCACCAUGGUGUUCUGCCCUAUCACAGGCCAAAAACAACGAAGCCAGGUGACCAUGGAAUGAAGCCCGGAGCCAAAGAAACCCAUCCUCCGCAAGGUUGGUAUUCUUGGGGAUUUUGUGACAAUGAUGGAAAGCUGACUAACCAGAAAGUUACUCCAUUUUUCUGUAUUUCUGAUUUUUGUUUUUCAUCUGAGAAUGGAAAUGUUGAUGGUUCCUCCCUCAAAGUGUUAACCACGAAGAACAGAUGAAACGAACUUUAAAAAAAUGCAGAAGAGCUCUCCUCUUGUGAAACAGUUUCCUCCAACUUUGAAACAUUCCAUGGUGGAGGGGGACUCUUUAAACAGGAAGGUAAACAACUCAAGAAGCUCCAGGAAGUCCCUGAAACCAACAGGAUUCUUCAGGCCCCCUCCUUGCCAGGGUAAGAAGAGCCAUUCUGCAAAGAGGAUUCUCACAUUAGCAAAGGGGCAGAGAAGAUUUUGAGACCAGACCAGCUGCCUGGAAGAGGUUUGGAUCAGCUGAGGCAUCUGGAGAGGACACUCUCCAACCUGUUGAGCUGCCUGCAGGCUGUACAGUGUGUUCCAGGUUCCGAGCUUUGUGAGCUGUCACCCAUGCCGGGUUGGGCUUAUAACUGUCUUUCAGUUACUUCUGCUCCUUACUAAAAGUAAGUAAUCCCUCACGUAUGUUCCUUUAAGUAAGACCAAUAAAACUCAUUGGUUCACCAAGUUGGACCUGGUGGUAUCUGUCCUUUGGUCUGUGGUGAACUCCCUCUCUGGAGUGAGUCGAUGUGUGUGUGGGUCUCCCUAGUAAAAGUAUUGUUACACAGCAACCCUCACCCCCACCACAGCAUAUAUACAUGUGGGCAAUGCAUAAGGCCUUAUUUUUGUCUGGGGCCCCUUUAACUCUUCACUGACUGGCCAGGUCAGACACAAGGUGAUCAGUCCUUUCCUAACACAUUCUGUAGCUCAGGGUUUUGCAGUCAGUUUUUAAGCAUCUCUGCUUCUGCAAGACUCCCCUUUUAUUUCCCUCCACACCCUUCUCUUUCUCUUUUUCCUUGUUACAUUUUAUGUACUGCUUAACUUUUCUUGUUGCUAUAACCAAGUACUUGACAGGAUGCAACUUAGGGAGAAGGGGUUUAUUUUGACUACACACACACACACACACACACACACACACACACACACACACAAACACACACACACACACGCACACCGCACACACACACUCAGACACUCACAUCCAAUCACACAUACUCUCUCUCACACACACUCACACAUACAUUUAACUUUGAAAGUUAAAGCUCAGUAGUUAAGGAGAGAUUGAAGGUAGACCCACCGUACAGGCAGGGCUAGGGAGAAGUUCACAAACGCGUACCAUGGUUGGGUAUAAUUGCUAGGUGAUGCUACAAUUUUACUGAGUUUCCUAGCAGCCAAAGAAAAGAUGGAAACAAAUAAUUAAGAGUAGUGAGGCCCCUGAGAUGAAGGACACACAUGAAAACUGUAAUUCUUUUCCUGAACAUUUUUGUGGAUUUUCUUAAAGAGAACCAAGUGGCAAGGAUUGUCUAGCAUAAUAAUGCAUAUACUUUCAUAACAGACGUGACAGUCAGCUUCCGGGAGCUGUUCUUAGGAUGUCCUCAUAUAGGCUGGUGAUAUGCAGCUGAUGUGAAGUCUUGGUAAAGCAUCUUCAUGUGAAGCUAAAAUAACAUGAUAUAUAUAUAUAUUCCUCCAAGGUCCUGUAUUCUGCAUAGAGUUUAGAGCUCUGCACACACAGGAAAAGACAGACUCAUGUCCUGCAGGCGGUGUGAUACUCUACAGAUCUCACCUCUGACAGUCUCUUUGGAGAAUAAAGUACAGUCCCUGAGAGUAGUGACUCUCUGCCACUGGUGAAGGGUACAGCUGGGCGGUGGUGGCACAUGCCUUUAAUCCCAGCACUUGGGAAGCAAAGGCAGGUAGAUCUCUGUGAGUUCAAAGCCAGCCUGAUCUACAGAGUGAGUUCCAGGACAGGCUCCAAAACUGUACAGAGAAACCCUGUCUCGAACCGCCCCCCCCCCCAAAAAAAAAAAAGAAAGAAAAGAAAGUCAGGUACAAGGAGAACGACAGUCAGUCCUUUUAACUAAAAUUAUCCUUCAAGUAAACACGCUUGGCUGAACAAAGCCACCCCAUUUCUGCAUGUAGGGUGUUGCAGGGAGAUUUGUUUGUAUCAUCGCUCUAAGACAGCCAUAGGAAUUAAACCUUGAUUCAGAGGGUGGAGUCCACAUUCAGCAGGCUGGAAUAAACCAUAGAGUUUUCUGGCCGACUCAGAUGAAGAUAGAGAGACACAGAGAGGAAGGAGGGGCUUGGAAAGAUUCUCAGACCUUUUCAAUCUGAGAAGGUGGAGAGGAGGGCUACUGAUAUUUUCUCCAUUGCUUUGUGGAUCUAUCAGGUUUAAACCCUAAUAUCUGGCUCCUGAGCUUUAUUUAUUAAUAAAACUAGGAAACUGCUAUAGUGGUGGGGGGGGCUGAGAGACUGUCUAUAGCAACAGGCAAAAUAAUUGACAACUCUGAUACUAGAUAAUUCUUUGACGUUUAUUAUUGAUUUUAAAAAUUGGCUUCCCUCUUGGGGGCAAUAAAAGAGCACCAACACUUGCCUCAGACAGAAAACACACCAAAAUGUUGGCAGGAGAAAGCUGUGAGAGGUGGGAUUUGGAGUGAUGUUUCUUUCUUGUGUUUACAGUGUUCUUUGUGGCGAACAGAUGUCACUUUGGUGGUAAGAAAAAAGUAAAACAAUGAAAGUGAUUUUUAGGGGCCAAAAACUACAGGGAGCUCCUUCCACAGAUAAGAAUGGGUGACCACACCUGGUUGGCCGCAUUUUAGACCAUUUAAGGGAACUUCACAUUUAAGGGUGCUCUGGCUCCAUCCCCAGUUAAAUAACUGUCAGACAUUCUGAGACAAGGGUGCCGAUAUUGGCACUUAAAAUAAUCUCCCAUGUGGUUAUAAUGUGCAGCUGGCUGGAAACCACCAUAGAACACAGCUGGGAUCAUUUGACCAUGGACAGUGCUCUUCUAAGCAAGCACUCUUUUUAGUGGCUUUUGUAUCUCUUUGUGAUCUGGUCUUUGCUUCAUUGUUCAACAUGGCUUCAUUCAAUGGCUUUCAGAAGAGUGCCCAAAUAUGGUAUGUUGUAGACUGAAAGCAAAGCAGUACUGAAUGAAUCUCUAUACCAUUGUUUUCUGACUGGGGUCACAUGGGGGGAAAAGGGCAUCCAUGUUUAUGCCACAGUUUUAUGCUUUUUUGUUUUGUUUUUUUAUGAUGUGGUAUGGACAACUGUGCUGACAUGGAUUGAGUUGGACAUUUCAAUGGACACACUGCUUGUAGCUAAGAAUGAGCAGGCACAGAAUGAGGGAGAGCAAAGGCCACCUGGCCAGGGUUCAGCCUCUUUCACUGUUUGUCCAGGUAUGUGCAUGUGAGUGCAGGUUCCUGAGGAUUCCAGCAGAGGGCGUCGGGUCCCUUGGUGCUGAAGUUACAGGUGAUUGUGAGCUGCCUGAUGUGGGUGCUGGAAACCAAGCUCAGGUCGUUCCCCAGAGCAAUGAAUGCUCUUCAUCGCUGGGCAUCUCUCCAGCCCCACCCACCUGGGACUGUAGAAGCAACUCAGCCUUCCUGGGAAGGUGGCCUGAGAUAUCAGGAAGAGGACAAUCUGGGUUCAGAGUCAGUCUGAACAAAGACUGAGCUAGGGAACCUAUGACUCUCAUUGGGAUUUGGUUUCUUUACCUGUGGAAUCGGAUGCCAGUGCUGUGUAGACAGAAACGUUGAAAGGAUCGGCAUUUUUGAAAUGCUGAAUGCUGUUUCCUUUAGCCCUAGGAACAACUGUUGUCUGUGACUUUUUAACUGGACUUUAAAGAAUGUUGGUAUGAUAAUCGCAGGAAAGACCCUCUGCCACUGGAACUGUGUGUUGCUGCACACUCCUGCAGUUUCACUCUGAUUUUAUAUCUACGGAGGCCACCAAGGAACACAUGGAGACUCAUAAAACUUUGCCCACACUUUCAUUAGCCACGUUGGAAGUGAGAAGUAGAAAUACAGGAGUGAAGAAGAAUAUAGUCUGUGAAAGUCAGUCUUGAGUUUUUCAUGCUGUGGGUCCUGCGAACUUAUAAACAAUGUGUGUGUGUGUGUGUGUGUGUGUGUGUGAGAGAGAGAGAGAGAGAGAGAGAGAGAGAGAGAGAGAGAGAGAGAGAGAGGGAUUGUGUUCUCGGUGUGUGUGUGUGUGUGUGUGUAGGAGAGAGAUUGUGUGUUCUCGGUGUGUGUGUGUGUGUGUGUGUGUG